Long non-coding RNA from Leptopilina boulardi, 603 nucleotides. RefSeq lists it as uncharacterized. The transcript has 4 exons. Lineage: Eukaryota; Metazoa; Arthropoda; Insecta; Hymenoptera; Figitidae. The record is from RefSeq and is a predicted model, not a curated record.
UUUUUGUUUAUUUAUUAGUAGAAAAUUAAUUUUAAAAAAAUAUUUUGCUUCGUAAGAAAAAAUUUUUAUUUUUCAAAGAUUUUUUAUGGAAACAAAUAUUUUGAAAAAAGAUUAAUGACAAGACCAAAAAAUAAAUUGACGAAAAAAUUUAUUGAUCGAAUAAAAUCAAAAGUCAUGGUACAGAAUUUCAACAAAAAAAAUGUAAUUAAUUCUUAUGAAAAGAAGGAAAAAUUAAUUCAUUCUGACGAUAAUAGUGAAAAGAAUAAAUUAAUAUUAAGUGAAAAUGUAUCACUGCAAAUAGUGAAAAAAAAUGAUAAUCAAUUUUUACUAUCAAUAAGCAAAGUGACUGCAUUACUUUUAUAUUUACAUUUUUUGCUAUCCUAUUUUUUGUCAUUUUCAAUAAGUCAACAAUAUAGGGAAUUAUUUGGAUGUUGUGAUAUUUUAAAAAUUGGAGAUUGAAAUUAAGGAACGAAUGGAAAUAUCAGUUUUCAGUUGAAUUUCCUUUAAUUGAACUUGUGAGGUGAUUUUAUAAUUUCGAAGAAAAUUUGCAAUUAUUGUUUUUAAACUCAUCAUAGCGAAUCGUUGACCUUUAUUAUAAAAAAA